This 462-nucleotide ribosomal RNA is filed under the name uncultured bacterium. RNAcentral's name for it is "partial 16S ribosomal RNA". It matches the Rfam family "Bacterial small subunit ribosomal RNA", at positions 28 to 507 of the family's 1533-position model. The record is from RNAcentral.
GACGAACGCUGGCGGCGUGCUUAACACAUGCAAGUCGAACGGAAAGGCCCUUCGGGGUACUCGAGUGGCGAACGGGUGAGUAACACGUGGGUGAUCUGCCCUGCACUUUGGGAUAAGCCUGGGAAACUGGGUCUAAUACCGAAUAUGAUCAUCGGCUUCAUGGUCGGUGGUGGAAAGCUUUUGCGGUGUGGGAUGGGCCCGCGGCCUAUCAGCUUGUUGGUGGGGUAAUGGCCUACCAAGGCGACGACGGGUAGCCGGCCUGAGAGGGUGACCGGCCACACUGGGACUGAGAUACGGCACAGACUCCUACGGGAGGCAGCAGUGGGGAAUAUUGCACAAUGGGCGCAAGCCUGAUGCAGCGACGCCGCGUGAGGGAUGACGGCCUUCGGGUUGUAAACCUCUUUCAGCACAGACGAAGCGCAAGUGACGGUAUGUGCAGAAGAAGGACCGGCCAACUACGUG